Molecule: non-coding RNA, 72 nt
Organism: Heteronotia binoei (common prickly gecko)
Lineage: Eukaryota; Metazoa; Chordata; Lepidosauria; Squamata; Gekkonidae
Source: the annotation of a RefSeq genome assembly
GGGGACAUGGCUCAGUAGUAGGGCAUCUGCUUAGCAUGCAGGUGGACCCAGGUUCAAUCCCUGGUAUCUCCA